Molecule: long non-coding RNA, 1050 nt
Filed under: Struthio camelus australis
Lineage: Eukaryota; Metazoa; Chordata; Aves; Struthioniformes; Struthionidae
Description: lncRNA (ENSSCUG00000017053.1)
Source: RNAcentral
GCUUCCUAUAAUGGAAGGUAACACUGAACUCUAGUUUAGGGUUUAUAAUGAUUCUGUUGUCACUACACUUUUAUAGAAAGUCUAUCAAGUGACAUCUAUAUCCUCUGCAUUAGUAGAUCAAUGCUGUACUUUGUUGAUCCAUCCUAUUUGGUACUUGAUAGGGGAAUGAUGGGAUUUGAAACGUGCCUGCAACGUAGCUGUUGUGGGGUUGCCAGAUCUGACUUAUCUUUGUGAAGAAAUUAAUCUGUGAAGAGGGUUAAAGAGUAGUGUUAUGAAAUGAAGUUCUAACUGCUCUUGUUUAGAAUUAUAAAGCUCCAGCACAUGUACCUGAGCCACAGCAAAAUGGGAUAGAGAAAGAAACAGUCUUGUUCUGUCUCAGAUGCUUAUAAGCAUUCCAGACUUUAUAUAUAAAACAGCACUUUGCAAUUCACCUGGAAACUCACUGAUAUAGAUCCAAGAUGAGAAACACAAUGUACUCGCAGCAGAAAACACUGCUAGGUCUUGAAACAAACUUCUGCAGAAGAGAUUGAGCCUGAAUCCUCAAAUGUGCUGCGUGCUCGUUUAUGCUAGCCUUUCACCAACCAAUGAUGGAAGGAAAACAACACUGGAAGAAGUUGUCCAUUCAGUUGGCUAUCGGAGUAGCCACAUGCAGAUGCUGGGCCACUGUGGCAUAGACUGGAGAAUAAAACUUCAACCAAUUUGGACAGCAUACUCCUCAAUGUCCUUAAAGCGAGAGUCAAGCNNNNNNNNNNNNNNNNNNNNNNNNNNNNNNNNNNNNNNNNNNNNNNNNNNGUAGUUCUAGGAAAAAUGGUAAGAGCAGCCCAUCUUCAUUCUUUAUAGCACUCAAGCAAGGUUGUGAGAAAAUGAAUUGUUUCAGCUGAGAAAGCAAUAGUUGAUGUAAAAUCCUUGUAGGGAAUCGUCAGUAUAGUAGCAAAACUAGUGCACCAGCAAUUACCAGUUUGACUUUAAAUCACAAGAAAUAAUUGGUGUAUGCAAACUAUGCAUCAGUAGUAUACAUUUCUAAAGAGGUUUAUUUACACUUGAGUAGAU